Molecule: non-coding RNA, 18372 nt
Organism: Callithrix jacchus (white-tufted-ear marmoset)
Lineage: Eukaryota; Metazoa; Chordata; Mammalia; Primates; Cebidae
Source: RefSeq, a predicted model, not a curated record
AGGAGGCAACUGGUGAGCCCACGGUGGCAGCUCUGCGUCUGCACCCGGGGUUGGGGCGCGGCCCAGAGUGUCUCCACUGGGGCCGCUCCCCUCGGGGGGUCACAGCUCACGCCACGGGAAUGCGCAUGGCUGUGCUCCCAUCAGGCGUUACUUAGCAACGCAGAUGAGAAUGGCCAACGGUUUUCACACAUCACGAGACGUUUCGAUUUUCGGCCAUCAUUGAAACACGUGAAAACCGUUCCUAGCUUGUGGGCUGUUCACAAAUGAGCACCAGGUCAGCUCUAACCUGUGGGCGUGGUGUUUGCCAAUCCCUCCGCUAGAGAAAGGGGCACACAUCUGUGACUUCCCUGACAUGUCUGUAGCAGACAGGACAUCUGCGUUCUACAGAAGGAGGACCCCAGCCUCCCCGCAGCACCUGGAUGGAUGAUGCUCCUCAGCCCUGCAGGGGCAGCCCAGCCUCGCCCACAAACCACCGCCUCUCAGGAACAGCCUAACCUGCUGACUGCGCAGCCUCCCGACUCCGACGACACCAGCCUCCACCCCCUGCACCCCAGGGUCGCAGCUCAAGGCCAGAAGAUGCCCUGUCCAGGCCCUAGCAGGGACCUCCAGACAUGCCCUGUCCAGGUCCGCAGGUACCCCCACUCCCGAGCCCAGAUCAGUCGUCUCACUAUUUUCAGCUGCGUGGUGGGGUGCAGGGUCCAGCAAGGCCACUGCCCUCUAGCGCUGCUGGUCUGGAAAAAGGCACUCCUUGUACUAGGACAGUGUGUCAAACCUGUCCCAGCAGCCCGCCCUGCGGUCUGAGCCCCACAGAACUGCCAUUUUCCUGAGCAGUUUUCAGUGUUUUUUAAAGGACUUUGAAGACUGCAUAACUAUUAGAGAAAAAUUAGAAAUCAGCAAAAAAAUGGACACAUAAUUUUGUAACCACCUUUUAUCUGGCUACAGUGAGAACACAGGUUUCAGCCCUAAGUUCUCGGGAACUCGGACCCUGGCAGUCUGUCCCAGUGGAGCUCUGGCAGCCAGGCCUUCUGCUAUUUCCUCUCUCAAGGUCUUAGAGGGCAAUGGUGCUUCACGUGGCUCCCUGCAGUGACCUUGGCUCCAGCAUGAAGCACGUGCUCUCUAAAUCACUGGUCUUGUUUGUUGCUGGAAGAUGAAGAGCCAGAACAGAACUUUGAAAGAGCCCAGUCCAGCGCCUGCAGGUGAGGAAGCUCAGUCCCACCCAGGCUGGUGGCGACCUAGGACCAGCCAGCCAGGCAGGGCUGUAGUCACCCUGCAGACCAGCUCUCCACAGCCAGGUGCCUGCCUGGCUUUCCCUGACGCAGUGUUUUAAAAUGGCAUGUGUCCAUAAUGGAAAUAGAUCACUUUACAAGAAAAAUGAAAUUUCCUACCCCUUUCCACUCCCUGGAGGCAGCGCUUUUAAGGCUUUUAACUGUUGUGUUUGGCAUUUAUCUCUACAUUGUUACUUACACUGCUACUUCUUGAUGUCUUAAAUCAUGUCUUGCCUUUUUACCCAUAAAGUGGGUGAGCACAGUGGUUCUAAAGCACAGACUUGAACUCUGUGACUUUAGGCAAAUCACAUAAUGUCUCUGUGCCUCAGCUUCCUCAACUGUAAAAUGAAGUCACAGUUAGCAGCCUGCCUCAGAGACUGCAGUGGGUUACCAGCACAUGUCCUGUGUGGUCUGUUCACAUGUGGCAUGUGCCACUGCUGUCAUCACUGUAGAAGCCCGACACCUGGCUCUCCUACCAUGUUCUGCCAUCCUCCCAACAGACCCAUCACAGUGCUGGGUCAGCCCCAGAUCGAUUUUGGCAUUAGAACCAGGUAAACAUGCUCUCAGCUGAGACGCAGGGCCUACUGUGAUUACAUUUCCUUUCUUGGCCCACUUUUUUUCUUGAAAUUAAAAAUUGCUUCAAGUUUGGUUUUCUGUUUUGCAUUUUGCUUAGGUUUCUAGGACUGCAAUUCAGCCUCACGUUUUCUGAGAGCACAGUCAGAACCUGGCCCUGACCAUUCGCCAAAAGGUCCUCCCUACCCAGCUCUAGUCUGGGCUGUUCGUGUCGCUGCCGUCCAGGCCACCCUCAUUCCUGUCCCAUCCUCCGGCUGGGCUGACGGCCACGUUUUGCUGAAGUAUAUUCUCUGCCACUUUUGGUUAAUCACGUGGUUGGGCAGAUGACUGUAGACAUCAUUUCCCUCAGAAAUCUCCAAGUCUAGAGACAUUUCUUCAUUGUCUUCUCACUUCCUGAGUUCUUGCGAGAAGUCAGUGCGCUGUGAUCCAGGUGCCCUGGGUGUGACUCCAGCUCUUCUCUGAAGGUGCAUGGGGGUUUCCUUUUAUCCCUCAGAUUCUAGAAUUUUCUGAUGAUGUAGACUCUGGUUUUUUUUCAUUGACUGUGCAGGGAAUUUCAAUCUGAAUGCUCCUUGUCCUGGAUCACAGGGGCAUUUUCUCCCCUCCUUCCUCUGUUCUCUUUCUGACACUCCCAAUAUUCUGGCAGUGAACGUCCUGGCUUCAACUCCAGUGUUCUUAUCUUUUCUUCUUUCCUCCUGAUCAUCAUAUUCUGCUUUAUCCUCCAUUUCUUCUAUUAAAAACUUAUUUGCCACCAUAUGUAUUUCCAGUAUCUUUUUUUUUUUGAGACCGUGUCUCUCUCUGUCGCCCAGGCUGGAGUGCAGUGGCACAAUCUUGGCUCACUGUAACCUCCGCCUCCUGGGUUCAAGCGAUUCUCCUGCCUCAGCUCCCUGAGUAGCUGGGACUACAGGCACCUGCCACCACACCCGGCUAAUUUUUUAUUUUUAGAAGAGAUGGGGUUACACCAUGCUGGUCAGGCUAGUCUCGAACUCCAGACCUCAUGAUCUACCCGCCUCAGCCUCCCACAGUGCUGGGAUUACAGGUGUGAGCCACCGUGCCCAGCCACCAAUAUCUUUUUUUUUUUUUUAAAGCUGCUUUUUGUUCAUUCACAGGCUCAGUACUAUCUUUAAAAAAAAUUUUUUUUUAAGUUUCCUUCCUUCCUUUCAUUGCUUCAAUUUCUCUUAACUCCUCCUCUUCUCUGUAUUUCAAGAGGUUUUCUUCACACAUGAUCUUGACUGGAAAAGCUGAGCCACUCUUUGGAAGUGAGGCUGAGCUCUGUGAGCCUAGCAGGUAGCAGGCCUUGCACAGGGCUCUGGGGACAGGCCCUGGGAGCUCAGCAGACUUUCCCUCAGUGCUCGUUUUCAGGGUGCUACCUCACUACCACUCAGCUAGGCAUGUGUACCCAGCACCAAGGCGUUUUUGCUCUCCAGAAAAGAACCGUCUGUCCUCUGUCAGGUAUGAGGGGAGGCGGCAGGGUCUCUCAGCCCUUCUGUUUCUGGGACUGUCCUUGCCUCUGUGGCCGCGGUUCUGGUCUCCUCUGGCAUUCCAGGCUUUGCUCAGCUGACUGCUCAUCGGCCUCUCGCUGUGCAGGAGCUUAGGUUUUGGGUGUCUCCAGGCUAAGUCAGCUGUCACUCACUUCUGUGUUCCAUCUUCCAGAAACAUGUGGCCUGCUUUCCUCCGCUGUCCUUGUGAGUUGUCUGAGCAGCAUUUAGGAGGAAGCUGGACACAGGGCCUAUCCUUCCCAUCUUCUCUCCUGCUGCAGCGGCCCUAGCCCCCUCCUCUUUGAGAGACUUAUGCGAGCCAGAAAGGAUGCGACAAGACAAACUGCUUGCUUAGAAGAAUGGCGAGAGGGUUUUCUUCAGGUGUAGGUGACUCAAGGGUAUGUCAAGUCCCCCAGAGAAGCCAGUAAGUAGCAACUGCGGCACCUGAGUGAGGACUCGGUAGAGGGGAUGGCUGGUGACAGCUGAAGGAGCCAGGCAGUGGGGAGGCAGAGAAAGCACUUGCUCUUCCUGCUGCUGUUACGAGAGAAAGGGAAGAUGAGGCAGAAUUUGCAGGAAAGCCUGACGCAGACAUGCAGGGAUGGCCUGUGUCAUUGAAGCCACAGUGUCAUUGAUAGGAGACUGAAGACAGACUUGUCAAAGGGUGCCUCAUGGGAGACAACUGCACAGCGCAGGCGCUCGCUCUCAGACACCAAUCUUUCAGUAAGAGGUGGCAGCACCAUCACUCAGGCAGGGAGACUACCGCCAAGCUGAGAACAGUCCUACGGAAGCAGCCCAGACUUUGGAAUAAGAGGUGUAAGAUGCCAGGACAGAGCAGGACUCGGCACACAGUGGGCUUUGUUUUCACUAUUCUAGGGAUUCAACUGCAAAGGAAGAAAAAUAUUUCAUCCAAGAGUGGACAAGCAGGCUUAGGAGAGAGGCAGGAGGAGAAGAGAGUCUUGCAGGAUGGUGUUGCUGAAGGCAGCUAACUCCCAGCGAGGACUUGACCGAGGGCCCCCUGGGUGCAUGGGCCCUGCAUUGAGUAGCUUGUGUCGUCUCGGUUCAUUUAAUACUCUCGACUCGGUAAAGUUGGUGGUGUUAUCUUCAUUUAACAGAUGAAGAGACUAAAAUGAGGACUCCAGCCCAGAGCUGGUGAGCGGCAGCAGCAGGAACUGAAGCCAGGCCUGCUGGACCCCAACAGCCUCUCUGGCUCUGCCACUUGCAGUGACCCCGAGGCCCACGGGAGAUGACCCUGUCAGGUAUGGUGCAGGACUCAGGCUCUGCAAGGACAGAAAUGGUUUGUAAAGGACCCUACACUUCCCUAUGCUUUUGGUUCCCCACUUGUUUUGAAUUUUAUCUGAUAAACCAAAUCCUUCUCUGUAUUUCCUUUCUUUUUAAUUUCUAGAGUUUUAAAAAUUAUGAUAAAUUUGAUGUUAUGUGUAUUUUAUCACAACUAUUUUUUUAGGUGUUUGGUUCAGUAGUGUUAAGUUUAUUUGAGUUGUGAAAAAGGUCUCCAGAACCUUUUCAUCUUGCAAAACAAACUCUGCACCCAUUAAACAAUAACCAUGGAAAGUAAAACCACCGAUAAGGAGGAAUUCCUGCUCCAUGCUAUUUUGAUUACUGUAACUUUACAGUAAGUUUUGAAAUCAGGAAGUAUGAGACCUCCAACAUUGUUCUUUUUCAAGAUCACUUUGUCUAUUUAGGGUCCUUUGAUAUUUCCAUAUAAAUUUUUGGAUUGAGUUUUCCUCUUUCUGCAUUAAAGGAAUGCAUUAAUCUGUAGAUCACUUUAGGCAAUACUGACAUCUUAAUAAUAUUGUCUUCCAAUCCAUGAACAUGGGAUAUCUUUUGAUUUACUUGUGUUCUUUCAAUUGCUUUCAGCAGUGUGUACACAUCUUGCCUGCUUGGUUUAUUUCCAAGUAUGUUAUUCUUUUUGAUGUUAUUGCAAAUGGAACAGUUUAAUUUCCUUUACAGAUUCCUAAUUAUAAAAAUGCAACAAUUAUUUGUGUUAAUUUUGUCUCCUGCAACUUUGCUGGAUUUGCUUAUUAGUUCUAAAAGUUUUAAAGUGGAAUGUUUACAUUUUCUAUAAAGGACCAUAUUGUUUGCAAAAAGAGGUAAUUUUACUUCUUACCUCUGAUUUGGAUGCCUCUUAAAUUUCUUUUUCUUGCCUGAUUGCUCCAGCUAGGACUCCUAGGACUAUGUUCAAUAGAAGGUAUGAAAGUGGCAUCCUUUUCUUGUUCCUGAUCUUCAAAGAAAAGCUUUCAUUCUGUCAUCACUGAGUAUCAUGUGGGCUUUUCAUAUGACCUUAAGCUGUUGAGGUAAUUUCCUUGUAUUCGUUUGUUAAGUUGUGUUGAAUCUUGUCAAAUGCUUUUUCUGUGUCAACUGAGAUGAUUGUGUUUUUUUCCUUUAUUCUGUUACUGUGGUGUAUUACAUUGAUUGAUUUUCUUACAUUGAAAUAUCCUUGCAUUUCCAGGAAUAAAUCCCACUUGGCCAUGGCAUAUAAUCCUUUUCAUGUGUUGUUGAAAUCUGUUUGCUAAUGUCUUGUUUGGGAUUUUCGCAUCAAUCUUCAUCAAGAAUAUUAGUAUGUAGUUUCCUUUUCGUUGUGUCUUUGGUUUUAGUAUCAGAGUAAUGCCGAACAUUGGAGUGUUCCUCCUUCUUCAGUUCUUUAGAAGAGUUUCAGGAGGGCUGCUGUUAAUUCUGUAAAUGUUUGGCCCUGGGCUUUUCUUUCUGGGGGAUUUUUGACUGCUGCUUCGGUCUUUUUACUAGUUGUAGGUCUGUUCAGUCUUGGUAGGUUGUGUUUUUCUAGGAAUUUGUCCAUUUCAUUUAAUUGUUCAUAAUAUUCUCUUGGCCUCUUUAUUUCUGCAAGAUGUGUGUUCUGUAAGAUGUGUUAUAAUGUUCUCUCGUCUAUUUCUGGAUUCAGUUAUUUGGGCCUUUCUCUCUUUUUAAGUUAAAGGUCUGUCAAUUUUGUUAAUCAUUUCAAACAGCCAACUCUUGGUGUAAUUGAUUUUCUCUGUUGUUUAAAAUUCUCUCUUUUGUUUAUCUCUGCUCUUAUCAUUACUGUUCCUUUCCUCUGCUAAGUUUUGGGUUUCGUUUGUUGUUUUUUUGAGCCUCUUGUUCCUUGUCUCUCGUGUUCCGCCCAUCUUCAAGGGCUGCUGUGAGGAUCACGGCCAAGAGGACACAUGAAAAGUCUAUUACACUGGUCAGAUGCCUCUUAGAACCACACCAAAAUGUGCCUGUGAUUAAUUCCGGCUGGGAGAAUGUCAGGCUUCUCUUUGGGUUCACCAGGCCCCUGGGUGGGGCUGUGAGGGCAGCACUACCACUGCAGAAGGGGAUGCCACCUUCUGAGAGACGCAUGUUACUGUGUCUUCAACCCUGCUCCCUCUUACCAUGCUAGUUUGUUUUUUCUACAGCACAGGGUUAGAGUCAGAGUCUUAGAUAAAAUGUAAGGGCUUGGUUUAAUAAGUAAUGGUUAGAAAUGGCUGUAGGUGAGCCAUUGGGGUUUUUCCAGAUUAAAACAAAGAUUUUUCUUGGUCUCUGCUUUAAUGUGAAAUCACUAUCCCCAAGUCAGCCCUGCUGCAUCAAUACAGUGUGAGCCCAGCCCUUGCAGGGCCAAAAUCAGGAAAGGUAACCUCAGAAUUCUGUAGCUGGGCAUUGAGGGACAGAGUGCAUGUCACAUGUAAAACAACGCACUAUAACAGGCCUGAAUUGAAUUCCUGCCUCUACCCCCUUUGACCUGUGGGUCUUUGGGGAAGUUUGUUGUUUGUUUGUUUUAAUGUUGGGGUUUCACCAUAUUGGUCAGGCUCAUCUCGAACUCCUGACAUCAUGUGAUCUGCCUGUCUCAGCCUCCCUAAGUGCUGGGAUUACAGGUGUGAGCCACCGCUCCAGGCCUGUGGAAGUUAUUUCAAGUCCCUGAGCUUCCAUUUCCUCCUAUUUGCCCCAAAGAGUUGACCUCCACUGACUGCUGACUGUGCAGGCAUAAGCGUCUGAUGAAUGUGAGUUCCCUCUUCCUCUGGGCCCUUCCUUAUCCCUGCUUCCUCCUCAGGUUUCCACCUCAACUCCAUCCUUUAUCAAGAUCUUCUUCUAGAAAUAUCUGCUAGCUAUAGUCUUCUCAAUAAAGCCCCGUAAAAAAUAAAAAUGAAUACAUUAUAAUUGGGAGAGGCCAUCAGGCAAUAUCAAGUAGUGGUUGUGGCCUUAAUGAUUUUUGAAAACCAAGAAAAAUGCUUGGGAAGGUGAUAUUACAUAGAAAUGAUGGUGAUUAAGCCACAGAAGAUUAAUUCCAACUCUGGAAAAUCUGUCUUCUGCAGAAGAUAUCUUAUUUCUCUAAAAGAAAACCAGGCAAUAAAAACCCUUCAUUUCUAGGAAAGAAACCAGACUGCCAGAAUGACCAACCUAAAAUUUUCUACAUUUUAUGUAUUGAAUUCAGUAGGCAUAUCCUCCAUAAUACAAAAUUAGUUUGAGAACACUACUUAUGCAAUAAAAAAUAUCUGGUAUUUCUCAGUUCUUCAUAAGGAAAACAUCAUCACCUUUCUGUGUUUUGAACAACACACAGAGAUACUAACAGGAAGAAACUUGUCCCCAUGGGGCUGAGCGAGGAUCAGCGUUAAGCACUGAAACAAUUAAUUCCCAUUAAAGGAUUAAGGCGCUCGGGUUCACUUUGAAUCAGAAAAGCGAAUCAUGAAUAAAAUGCUGUACACCUAAGAGGCUGCUGGUCCCAGUUAGUGAGUGAGAGAACUGAAGAGCAACCCAGAGUGCAGAGAAGCGGAGCAGCCGCUGACCCGGCAGCGAGAAGACGAGUGGGGUUUGUUUCAUGGGACAAGAUGGUCCUUCAUGAUGCCAUGGAAACACUGGGGGAGAGUCGGGUUUGCGUCCUAGGAUGCCGGCCUUACUCCAACAGAUGAAGUCCAUGAAAGUAAAUCUACAAAGCGUGUUCCAGCUCGCUACAUCAUCAUGCCUCGUGCAUGGGUUUCCUUAUAGCAUCUUACCAUUAAUACGAAGAAUCAAAGACACGCAGGAGAGGUUAACAUUCAGUCUGGAGAGUUUUACUGUGGGUUCCUAGAGCCAACUGAGGGCACUGAACAGCUCUGCAGACAUCGUUCCCUGACGCCGAUAUGUUAAGGAUGAGGGAGGUCUGCUGUGGUCAGGACUCGGGCACCCUCCACUCUGGAAUCAAAGAGGCCAAAGCUGAACCUCUGUCCCAAACCCAACUGGCCCGGACAAUAUCGACACCCAGGGGACAGCACGGAGGUGGAACAGGCUCAGAGAGCCUCGAAAAGCUUUAGUUCAGUGAAAUCUGGUUUCACACUGCCAAUAUUUGAGGAAAUAAACACACUCCUGAGCGUCCACCUGGCCUGGAGCUGCCUGAAAUGCCGGUCACUUACUCAGCAGUUCUUGAAGCAUAGUCCAUCUACAGUUUCGUAUUUCAUCACCCAGGCAGAAUUUGAAAGUGAUUACCAGUCCUUUGCAUAACUGUUAGAUUUUUCUUGCUUGAUAUUUUUCUUAGCCACCUGGUGGCAAGAGUGUAAAAGGCAGGAUUUAAGAGUUAGUGAUGAGAGUUUACACAUCACAACCACCUCAUAUGGCUGGUGCACAUUUAAAAGCCUGCAAACACAGAGCAGGAGAAGGAAGGGGCUUGUGUUUAACCAAUUUACAAAAGGAUCUUAAAUAGACACCAGCUUCGAACACAAAAACCACCUUUAUGAAAAGAUGCCUCAAGAAAAUAUUCAUCUUGUACAUAGGAAAACUUUGUGACCGGAGGAAAUGUAGUAAAAUCUGUAUGUCAUCAUGUCAAAGCGUCUGUUUUCUCCAUGUGAUAAAUCAAGCUACUAAUAACGCAUACUGCCAGUUGGCAAGUUAAGGCUUAGUUAGAAAAAGGAAAAUGAUUUGGACUUGGGUAACGUGAAACUCAGGCCCCUGCCAGAGGGGCUCUGCCACUGGCGGGGGAGAAAUAGCUGUAGAAUCAGAAACUCCUGGUCCAGAGGAUGGCCCGGCAAAGAAUUUCUCUCUGUCUUUAUGUUUGCUGCAUGAAUUUGCUUUUGUCACUCAACAUCUCAUGUCAAAAUUGGCCCCAGCAGAUCCUGGGCCCACCAGCCUCAUGAAGGGCAUGGCGAUCAUGGCUGUACACUGGUUUCCAACUGCUGCCCUCGUCCUUCGGUGACCACCAGCAGCCACACCCGGCGCCAGCCCUGAGCACACACAGCCACUCUACAUGGUGGAAUCGGAGUGAGCAGCACAUGCAAUGCUGUGCAUGUUACCCCAAGAGGGGCCUUUUCUUAUUUCAUGGAAACCUUGUGUCUCUCUUCAACAGCCACUUCCCCUCGCUCCCCCACUGUAACAUUAUUUUCCCUGGAGAAAACGCCGAGUGUCUGAUAUAGUUACACAUUAAUUCUUCAGAAGUUUCUUAGAACUGUAGGAAACAGGUGAAAAAACAAAAUGCCUUGAACUUUCAACUUGAGCCCGGCCUGUGCACAUGAGGCGGGCCCUAAGGUCACUCUUUCCCCGCGUGGCUUGGGGCGACGUGCCAGGGAGUGCUCGGCCACAUCCUGUUGGCGCUUUGAUGCUUUCAUUUUGUCGCUUGCUAGUUUCUUUACAGCAAAGACAAGGGCUUCCUGCUAAGGCAGACCCCUUACCAGCACCACUGCAUACCCCGGAAAAGUCCCUGGCAAAACACCUUUCUUCCAUUAUCCGAGCAGGCCCUGGUAAAACACUGGCGCCUUUGAAAUCAGAGGCCAGGGCCUCCUCUCCACACUUCACUCAAGACACUGAACAAUCACGGGUCUGGGAAAUCAGACGGGCGCUUGGUAGUCCCUGCUGCCAUACCGGGCGCCCUAAAUGCUCCUCAGCAACCAUCCCUUGAGAUUUUACUCUUUGGCCAAAUAUAAAUAACUUUUCAUGCCCUAUCACUUUAAAGGCAAUUGUGUUGCCACCUUUAAAAUGUACAGUGACCAACAACUCAGACAUGACCGUUCCCUGCAUCCCCAUGUCUUUGAGUAUGGAAAGGAAUCGCUGGAAAAUCCCAUGAUGCCAGGCCAGGGAAUGAGCUCUAUGCAAACAGGCAGGAUGGAGAAACGGCCAGGGCCAUGGCCCCAGAUUCCAGGCGUGGCUGCAGGAGCAGAGGUGCUGGCAGCCCCUGCUGCCUCCCAGUGGGAUGCUCAGAAGACACAGCAGAGGCCAGCAGCAGGAGCCAGAGCCAGAAACACAUGCUGGGCAGGUGGCCAGCAGUCUGACACCUGAGACGCUGUCAGCCUCAUCACACACGGCCCCCAACCUGCAGGCAUGGCCUCAGGAACCUGGCUCUACUUGCGGCCCUACCUGUGGCUCAGACGGGUCAACGCUGCCCUCAAGGAAGAGCCCUGACUCCAUGCCCACCCCAUGCCAAAUGCUCCACUCACAUUCUCCACCUGGUGGCCCAAACCACAUAGCAAGGUCGCCUUUCUCCCAGCUUCUCCCCCAUGUUGUAGAUGGGGAACCUGGGGCAGAGAUGAAGUGACUCACACAAGGUGACCCAGGCAAGGGUGGCAGGGCCUCCACACCACCUUCCCAACCUCCACGUUCUGGGGCCCCUGGCGGAGGGCAUCCCUCACUGCCCCAACCACUCCAUGGUCCCCGGCAGCCAGUGGCCUGGGCUGCCCCCAACACCAGGCUGCAGUCACAUCCACCGUGGCCUUCAGAGUCCAGAAGGUGCCCUCAGGGUUCACUGAGCACCCCUUGGCUACCCGCCUGGCUUGUGCCAUGGAACGCACUCAGACACUGCCACUGUCCUGAAAUUCCCCGUUUUGUCUUCGUGUUUUGUAAGCGAAGUCUGCUGGGAUAACAUAGCACUCCCGUGAGCGGGGGAGAGCCCAGGAGCAUGGGAUCAUGGUGGACCCAGGAUAUAGGGGGUUCUGGCAUUGGGGGGAGGCCGGGUGAGCCACUGUGCUUCCCAAUGCAAGUGAAACCUGUCCCCCCGCAAAAGGAGGAAGGAAGGGUUCUGAGAACACAGACACCAAAGGCUCCACCAUGUCCCUCCCUACCCACAUGUCAGCCAACCACAUACUCAGAAAAUGACACAGAAGGCCAGGGCAACCUGCUGGGCUACCCACCGUGCCUUCCCCUCUCUGCUUUCCUCCAUCAGCAGAUGAAGGCAGACAAUGUUGGUAGAAUCUGUGCAUCUCAAAAGGGGGGAAAACAGCUAAUUUUCUGAUAAGAAUGAAAUAAAUAUGGAUGAAUAAGUUAUGAAAAGCUGUCACUUCUGUGAUUUCAUGAGUUAAAUGCAUUGAAUACAUGCACUGAAACUUAAAACUGAUAUUGCACAAUGUAAAGAUGAAUGAAAAACUCUAUGCCGAGAAUUUAAUAAUAUGGAAAUAGACUGGGUGCCGUGGCUCAUACCUAUAAUCCCAGCAUUUUGGGAGGCUGAGGUGGGAGGAUCACUUGAGCCCAGGAAGUCGAGGCUGCAGUGAGCCAUGAUCUCACCACUGCACCCAGCCUGGGCCUGAGUGAGACCCUGUCUCUGAAUAAAUAACAAAGAAAUAAUAGUAAAACAAAAUUUGGCAUAUAUAAGAAAAUAAUGUUUAGCUUUUAGCAACUAAAAUCCUCCAGGCCAAGUUGAGAGGGUGGGUCGCGAGUCCGCAGGGGGAAGGAGUGCACCUUUUCUGGCUUUUCAACAAGGGCAUCGCAUGGCCCAUCCUUGCCACGCCUCUAAUCCACAGCUCCUUGAGGGCGGGGUCUUGCCUUCUCUUCUUUUCACCCCCCUAUGUCAUCUGGUGUGCCCUGGCACAUGCAGUAGGCACUUCGUAAACACUGCAGUAAGCCACGGGGCCAUCCCACGAAGCCCAGAUUCUCACAGAGGCACCAUGGGCCUUCAGGCUGUUGGGAAUCUUUCAAGUUCUCCUUGUCUCUCAAACCCCACAGGUUCAAAUACAGCCCAGGGGGCACAUUCACAGGCCCUGGAUUCAGUGCCAACUCUGCCACCUCUUCCUUCCCACAAGAGAGCCAGGUCGCCAGACCCUCAGACCAGGCCCGGGAGCAGGGCAGAAGCAGGAGUGUGGAGCAGCCAGGUGGGAUGGCACCGGCUAAGCCUCAGCCCAUUACAGCCACUGACAGCCCGUAAAACUCACCUCCAGAGACCAGACCAGAGGGGGUGGGGUACUCACUGCUGAGGGCACAGGGCCCUCCGGGAGGAUGAAAGUGUUCUUUGUAUUGAUUUGGGCAGUGGUUCCAUGGGGGAUACGUUUGUCAAAAUAAUUGACCUAUCUAUCUGUGCACUUUAUCUAUGGAUCUUGUUGUAUGUAAAUUACACCUCAGAGAAAGGUGACCUAAAACCAAGACUGACUGAGCUCACCGGAGGCCGCAGGGCCUGUGCAGGCCUGGGCUGCCCUUACUGUGCGCUCUUGUCAGCGCUCAGCAAGCUUCACAGCCCAGAAUCAGAAGCUGAAGCUGAAGCUCAUCUUUUCUUUAGGGUUUCCACAAGCACCCAAGUCUGUCCAAAGCCUUCCUGCAGAUUUGUGCUGGCUUCCCUUACGCUCAGUUGUUUUCUGGAGAUAUUCAAUAAGACAAGAACGAGACUUCUCUGCCACCCGGCUGUGUGGAAAGAGAGCAGCGGGGUCAAGGUAGAGCAGGCCGGGAGGCAUGAGGCAGCCGUGAGCACUGCAGGCCUGGGCACCAGGAUGGGGACCAGGGCUUUCUCUGCCCACCAAGGACCCCACACACACCAGCUGCUGACCAAGCAGUGAGUUCCCAGGAAGAAACACAGUAAAUGGUUUGCCUUUUAGAAUAUUGUUCCAGGCCUGCUGGAAGAUGGUGCAGCAAUCACACGCUGGCAGUUGCUCAAAAUAUGUUUAUUCUGCCUGGGGCGGCAAAACCCCAGGCAGCCGGGAAAAGCCAAGAAUCUGUGGCUUGUCCCAGCCCGCCCUCCGCUUGUUAAGUAGGACACCCAGGUCUGGCUGAUGGCAGGCAACUUCUCUUCUACCUUGUGUGCUCCCAAAGGUCUGGAUUGUCUCAACUCUGGCAGAAGGCAAGGGAGGCCUGGGAACGCCACCUGUGCCUUUCUGCUGUUCAUUUUUCUAGAGCAUGGCUGCUUUUCAUUUAAAACCUUUGGGUUAGAAAUACCUUGACUGAGUUUCGAAACAGGAAUAAAUAUACAUUAGUGUUUUGUUUUUCAGAAACAUCUGAAGGUUGUAUUGACUGAACCUUGUUUUAUAUGACUGUUUUGCCUUCUUAAAUGAGAAAUGGAGAAUCCAACGUAAAGUUAGAAGAAACACAAAACAAUUACAAAAUAUCACGGUGAUUCUCUAGGUGGUUUGCUGACAGAAUAUUCUAGAAAGAUGGGAAUAAAUAUAAGAAUGUUCAAACGGCUCUCAGAUAAUCAUUUUAGAAGUUAAACCUACUUAAAAGUGAAGAGAGAGAAAUUACAGAUACCAGCGAGCCCCUGGUGAGGCUUGGGCCGGCAUACCCUGUAUUUGGCAGCUUCACCAUCUGGUUGCUUUGAGGGGUUCAAGUCCCCCAGAGAGAGGCUGGACACAGUGGGUAGAAAAAUAGUGAGAUCCCCAUAAACAUGCACAAUUAUAUGCCCCCAAAAUAUAAAAUUAAAAAAAUUUAAGAACUGAGAGCUAAUAAACAGAGAUCAAAGCCACACGCCUGUUAAUCAUCUGGGAAGAGGCCCACCUGACCCAGGCCAAGUAGGCAAAGCCACAACAGGGUGGGUAGACUGCAGGCGCAUCCAGGGGGCACAGGGUCCACAGAAGAGCCAACCAGGGGGCCACCACCCAACAUCAUGGAGCAGAAUAAAUAGAUCAGCAUGAAUUAAAGUAUUUCAGAGACUACUUUCAAAGAUAACCACCAAAUACAACUGCAAGAUGUCAAAUUUAAAAUCCCUAGGGAUGCCACCUCCACUAUGUGUGGAGCCUGGGCACAGCUUAGAAACCACCACCCAUGGGCUGGGUGCCAGUAGCUCAUGGCUGUAGUCCCAGCACUCUGGGAGGCCGAGGUGGGUGGAUCACCUGAGGUCAGGAGUUCAAGACCAGCCUGACUAACAUGGUAAAACCCAGUCUCUACUAAAAAUACAAACUUAGCCAGAUGCGGUGGUGCAUGGCCGUAAUCCCAGCUAUUCCAGGAGGCUGAGGCAGAAGAAUCGCUUGAACCUGGGAGGUGGAGGUUGCAGUGAGCCAAGAUCACGCCAUUGCACUUCAGCCUAGGCGACAAGAGUGAAACUCCUCAAAAAAGUAAAUCAAUAAACCACCACCCAUGUGGCCCAACCUGCUUAUCGACCUCAAACCAGCACAGCAUCAUCCUAACCCAGGGCUUGCUGCUGGUUGGCACUGCCAGCCAGGGCCCCACAUCCCACUGCCCAGAAACAUGAAAUCAGGAGCUAAAAGGAACCGCAAACCCAACUGGCCACUGAAAGCUGGGCAACAAGUUAUACUGUAGCCACGCGGCUUCCCAUGCCAACAGCAGGGGACUGGGUCAGUGUCCAGCCAGAUGCCGCCUCCAGCGGGCUCUGUAAGGCAGAAUUCCUUUUGGUGCAAUAACAGGUUUGCCUUCUGCAUCGCCUUUCGCUAAGAAUAGUAUUAAAACCAGUUUAAACCUCCAAAGAGAUGCUGAUUACCCGGAGAUCACGUAGCCAGAGGUGGCAGACGAAAGAAAGGGAAGCAACUCAGAAAAGUCCAUUGCUUACAUCAGUGCACUCAAAGAGAUGGGACCUCAUCCCCAACACACAUCGGCGCGCACACACAUGAUGCUAUUUUCACACAUUUGGAAAAAGGAAACAUUCUUAAAGUUAAAAGCAUAGAACUCAAAAUUAGGCCCGAUUAAGUUUUUUGUAUGAAUUACUUUGUUCCCAAAGCAUUCAAAUCCUUUCAGUGCUUGAAUAAUUAUCCCAAGUUAAAUUCGAUUUAAAUGGCUGAGAGAGAAGUUAAGACUCUGAACUACAAGAAAGAAGGGAACAGGGGAGGCAACUCAGGGCGUUUCCCUGAGUGAGCUUCCACACUCCCUGCGUAGAGUGGGUCCAUCUGCCACAUUUCUAUGAGUCCUGAACGCACGCCUGGCCAGUGUGUGCUGGCAGCAGCCCGAGUUCUGAGGCCAAAACAUCCAGAAAAAGGCAUUGAGCUGGAGGUACUGGCCCUUCUCAGGAAACUGGAUGCGCUGAAUGAAUUAAAUCCGACCCAAUUAUACCCCGCACCCUCACCAAAAACAAAGCAAAACCACUUUUAAAGGCUCCAUUACAGCCAGAAACCACUGACAAAAGCCAGGCCAGGCUGAAGCCAAGCACACCCAUCUUUGGGUUUAAAACUCCUUGGCCUCCCCAGUGUUGGGGGUGGAUCCCAGGACCCUAGAUAUUAUUUAAAAGCACAUUUGGGUAUAUACUUGGCUUCUGAAAGCAUUUAAAAGCACACGCAUGGGCCACUCCCGAGACAGCGGAAUGGGCUGUGAAAAUGUGCAAGGCCCAGGCGGCUGCUGUGUGGUCAGCAGGGAGAGGCGGCCCUCCCGGCUGAGGCACUUCCUCCAAUCCACUUGCUUCAGAAACAGCAGAACAGCAGCUUUGCUUUACAUUUUGGAGUUUGUUUUUUUUUUUUCCCAAAAAUUUACAGUGUUCUUUCAUUAGGAAGUUAAAAUCAUGUUUACUCAGCCAUUUUCUGAAAUGAACAGCUCAAACAUGUGACACAUUUAACUUUUUUGGGAGGGGUCUAUGAAAGUUUUGUCAUUUCUCUCAUCUAUAACUACUUUCUUAAUUAAAAAACAAACAAAAAACACCAUAAUGUAUAUAUAAACAUGGGGAAAAAAAGACACUCUCCUCUCUGCUCCUAAGCUGUCCAAGCCAAGAAAACCUUUUCCCUGGCAAGGGCCUGGCGUAAGUGGCAAGGUGAGGAGGCCACUAGCUCCUUCCUACCUGCCGGAGCUGGUGUGAACAGACUUCACCUCGGCUCUCAGCAACUUCCCAGAAAAGAAGGAAAAAAGGAUUUCUCCUGGGGGGCCAUGCGUCAAUAAUCACAAGACAGCUAAGGGGUAACUAAAGUCCUAGUUGGAAGCACCUUAAAAAUGUUCAACUCCUUACUGGUCCUUUGAGUGGGUCCCCUACAAUCCAGGCCCCCCAGGCUGUGCUGUCCAGGAAGCACCUGGGCCAGGCAGAGGAGGGCCACGGAGUAGGGCACAAUUGCCCAAAGAAUCUGCUCCUGUCCCUUGGAUGUUCAGGGUUUUUCUUUAAAAUUCAUGCAACUUGGUAUUGUUUUAACAUAACAAUUGUUUCACUUAUUUUCAGGUUAAGGAAUUUCUCUCUCCUUCCCUCUGCCCCCAUUUAAAGGCAAUUCCCUAGGGAGCAGGUCCCUGCCUCACAGAGGGGGCAAGACUAGUGCAGUCAUGUCAUCAGACUCCACCUAUCCCUGUGCAACGGGCCGUGCUUUGAGUCCUUCUCUUUCCAACUUUAAAAACCAAAGCUAGAUGUAGUUUUUCUAAGGCAAGGAGUACCUGCCAGCCACUUAACAUUUCUGUUAAGAUCAUCUGCCCAGUGCUCAGGACGUCCAGGCUGGCUGGCGGGUCAUUCAUUCAUUCACUCAUUCAGGAGAUACUGAGCAUCUACAACAGGCCAGGCAUCCAAAGACAGAAAAAACAACAGUCCUUGUGGGGCGGCAGAGAUGCUGAGCCCUGAUGAGAGGGCACUCUGCAGUUGGGACAAUGAGUGCCACAUCAGGACCAGGCAUCAAGUCACCUGCAGGAGAGGGUGACCCAGGCAAGCAGCAGAGCCUCUGGGGAUACCCAGGAGCAGGCAGGUCAGGUGGAGGGUGGGUGAGGAAGGGAGGGGGACCUGAGCAGAGGGGACGGUGGGCUGUCAGGGGAACAGUAAGCACACCAGUGGGCAGGGAAAGGCCCAGACCUCCAAGGGUCUUCUAUGGUAUCUUACGGAGCCAGAUAUUAGCAUCUGUGCGAUGAGAGCCAUUUGAGUGUGUUGAGUGUGGCCCCAGGCACAGAGGUUCGUUUGGCUGUUACUUCUGUUUUUUGUUUGUUUCUGAUACAGAGACUCACUGUGUUGCCCAGGCUGAAGUGCAGUGGUGCGAUCUUGCUCACUGCAACCUCCGCCUCCCGGGUUCAAGCAAGGCCUCAGCCUCCCAAGUAGCUGGGACCACAGGCACAUGCCAAGACCCAGCUAUCGAGGUAGUUUAAUAUUUAAAAAUCAGUCAAUGAAUUGUCAUAGAAACAGAUUAAAAUGGAAAAACCACAUGAUGAUCUCAAUAAAUACAGGAUGAGCACUUGACAAAAUUCAGCAAAUUAAUAAAAAUUCUUAGCAAACUGGAAAUAAAAGAGGAUGUCCUCAAUCAUUCAAAAGGCUGUCUAUGAAAAAUCUACAGCUAAUAUCCUUCUCGUUAUGGUGAAUAAUCAAAUACUUCCCCGUGAGACUGGAUGCAAGGCAAGGACGUCUACUCUUCCCACUUCUGGAGGUUCUAGCCAGGGUAAUAAAGGAAGAAAAAGAAAUAAAAGGCAUAUACUUCAGAAAGUAAGAAAACUAUCUUUCUGCAGUUAAAAUAAUUAUCAGUAUAGAAAAUCCUAAGAAAAUCUACCAGAAGUUUACUAGAACUAAUGAGGUUAGCAAGGUUUUAGGGUGUAAGGCCGAUACACAAACGUCAAUGGCAUUCUGGCAGGGGCAAACUGGAACUUUAAAUUAAAAAACCCAGUAUCAUGUAUAGUAUCACCGAAACGUGAAAUACUUAGGGUCCAACUGAACACAAUAUGUGCAAUACCAGUGCACUGAAAAUUCCAAACACUGAUGAGAGAACUUCAGUAUCUAAAUAGAGAGAUAUACCAUGUUUUGAUGGAUCAUUUUCAGUUAGAAUGUUAAUUCUCUGCAAAUUGAGUUAGAGAUUCAACAUAAUCUUAAUGAAAAUCUCAGUAGGUUUUUUUUGUAGAAAUUGAUGAGCUAAUUCUAAAAUUUAUAUAAAAGAUAAAGAGUGUAACUGGAUUGUUUAUAAUGCAAAGGAUAAAUUCUCCAUGAUGUGUGUAUUUCACAUUGCAUCUCUGUAUCAAAAUCUGUAACCCAUAAAUAUAUAUUACACAUCUACUAUGUACCCACAGCAAUUAAAAAUAAAAUAAAACUUGUAUAAACA